RNAcentral lists this ribosomal RNA (507 nucleotides) under uncultured Propionibacterium sp. RNAcentral describes it as "bacterial SSU rRNA". It matches the Rfam family "Bacterial small subunit ribosomal RNA", at positions 8 to 526 of the family's 1533-position model. The record is from RNAcentral. Lineage: Bacteria; Bacillati; Actinomycetota; Actinomycetes; Propionibacteriales; Propionibacteriaceae.
AGAGUUUGAUCCUGGCUCAGGACGAACGCUGGCGGCGUGCUUAACACAUGCAAGUCGAACGGAAGGGCCCUGCUUUUGUGGGGUGCUCGAGUGGCGAACGGGUGAGUAACACGUGAGUAACCUGCCCUUGACUUUGGGAUAACUUCAGGAGACUGGGGCUAAUACCGGAUAGGAGCUCCUGCUGCAUGGUGGGGGUUGGAAAGUUUCGGCGGUUGGGGAUGGACUCGCGGCUUAUCAGCUUGUUGGUGGGGUAGUGGCUUACCAAGGCUUUGACGGGUAGCCGGCCUGAGAGGGUGACCGGCCACAUUGGGACCGAGAUACGGCCCAGACUCCUACGGGAGGCAGCAGUGGGGAAUAUUGCACAAUGGGCGGAAGCCUGAUGCAGCAACGCCGCGUGCGGGAUGACGGCCUUCGGGUUGUAAACCGCUUUCGCCUGUGACGAAGCGCGAGUGACGGUAAUGGGUAAAGAAGCACCGGCUAACUACGUGCCAGCAGCCGCGGUAAUAC